GCAUAUAAGAAUAUUUACACGCGUUCUCAUGAAGAAGCAUGGUGUCAUAGAGAUAAGGUUAACUUUAAGGAGCCACAUUAUACUUUGGUGUAUGUGUGUGUGUGAAAGAGAGAGGAAGAGACUCUUCAAAGAUUGAUCAGGAGAACAUUUUGACAUGGUGAAACGUAUACAGAUGAAAAGAAGGAAGUAACGAAGGAAGGAAAGGAGGAAGGGAAAGGGAAUUGUGAUGCCCUAGGCACACCUCCUGCUCCUUCUAAUCCCUCAGGAUGAUGUCAGUAUUUGCCUACUUGACCUCUCUGUCUUUCCCACCCUCUAAGGUGUGUGGCUUCCCACAAAAAAAUGGAUUUUAGAACCUUCAGAUGCAUCCAGGCAAUGCACCAAUGAGGGCUCAGCCUGAGAAACGAGAAAAGAGAAAAAGCUGAGAGAACCAGGCGGAAUGGAUCUAUAUGGUUUGUGUGGGAGUGGUGUGAAGCUCCUGAAUUGCCAGAUGGAAACCCCUCUGCAGUGUGGAGAGGACAGAGAACCUGAACCCAAGACUUUUGUUUCUGAGGCUGAGAAGACAUAUCCUUGAAACUUUCCAGAGCCCCACAUCCUCAGCGGUUGCUUGAUCAGUGAAUUGUCAGGGCAACCUCUCAUCUACCAGUCCUCUAAUUUCAGAUCUCAUAAGAUGAUUUCAAAAGAACAGAGUUGGGUAGUGAAGUGAGAUAAGAAAAAUCUGUCUAUCCAUGAUUGGUAAAGUUAGCAGGGAGAGAAAGGCAGAAGUACUGACUGAUGGCAACUCUGAGUGCCAAGAUAAAAUACCCAUGUUGGUGCCCUAAAGAUUGGGUGGUAAUUUAAUGCAAAACAAAAUUUACAUAGAUAUCUUACUGUGACACUCAGAUCCUUCAGUACUGAGUGUCCAGCUCACUGUCUAUCCCUGCAUCUCCUCUACACUCACCAUAUAUUGCAACUGGACUCUACUGCUGGAGGAUGGCAUCAUGCCUUCCUGGUGCGGCAGCGGUUUAAAGUACCUUCUGCUGCCAUAGUCCACUUAACCACCUCCUGGCUUUAGAUUCCUGAGGCUUGUGUGUCUAUUCCAAUCCAUUGAGGGCUGCCAAAACACCAACGAUCUUAUACUGAACUCUUCAGGGCUCUUUUGAGACCCUUCUCACUAGACUUGGUGUAAUGAGGUUCUGUACUUGGAUUCCUUCCCCUGUGAACUCAGAGCACAGCUUUUGCCAAAGAAAUCCUUCUCAC
This 1236-nucleotide long non-coding RNA is filed under the name Bos grunniens (domestic yak). Its description in RNAcentral is "lncRNA (ENSBGRG00000026262.1)". The record is from RNAcentral. Lineage: Eukaryota; Metazoa; Chordata; Mammalia; Artiodactyla; Bovidae.